RNAcentral lists this non-coding RNA (23 nucleotides) under Arabidopsis thaliana (thale cress). The record is from RNAcentral. Lineage: Eukaryota; Viridiplantae; Streptophyta; Magnoliopsida; Brassicales; Brassicaceae.
GCUGCCAUUCUGCUCCUAACCUC